GAGUGAACGCUGGCGGUAGGCCUAACACAUGCAAGUCGAACGGCAGCACAGUAAGAGCUUGCUCUUACGGGUGGCGAGUGGCGGACGGGUGAGGAAUACAUCGGUAUCUACUUUUUCGUGGGGGAUAACGUAGGGAAACUUACGCUAAUACCGCAUACGACCUACGGGUGAAAGCAGGGGAUCUUCGGACCUUGCGCGAUUGAAUGAGCCGAUGUCGGAUUAGCUAGUUGGCGGGGUAAAGGCCCACCAAGGCGACGAUCCGUAGCUGGUCUGAGAGGAUGAUCAGCCACACUGGAACUGAGACACGGUCCAGACUCCUACGGGAGGCAGCAGUGGGGAAUAUUGGACAAUGGGCGCAAGCCUGAUCCAGCCAUACCGCGUGGGUGAAGAAGGCCUUCGGGUUGUAAAGCCCUUUUGUUGGGAAAGAAAAGCAGCAGGUUAAUACCCCGCUGUUCUGACGGUACCCAAAGAAUAAGCACCGGCUAACUUCGU
RNAcentral lists this ribosomal RNA (492 nucleotides) under uncultured bacterium. RNAcentral's name for it is "partial 16S ribosomal RNA". It matches the Rfam family "Bacterial small subunit ribosomal RNA", at positions 27 to 506 of the family's 1533-position model. The record is from RNAcentral.